UCUCGCAGCCAUAUCACCCUGCAGCCCAAGACUGGUUGCCCACUGAAGCUAAGCAGGGAUGAACUGGUCAGUACCUGGAUGGGAGACCUCCUGGGAAAACUAGGUUGCUGCUGGAA
Molecule: ribosomal RNA, 116 nt
Filed under: Sinocyclocheilus anshuiensis
Lineage: Eukaryota; Metazoa; Chordata; Actinopteri; Cypriniformes; Cyprinidae
Source: RNAcentral